This 391-nucleotide unclassified non-coding RNA is filed under the name soil metagenome. RNAcentral describes it as "partial contains 5.8S ribosomal RNA, internal transcribed spacer 2, and large subunit ribosomal RNA". The stretch from base 1 to 122 matches the Rfam family "5.8S ribosomal RNA", at positions 35 to 154 of the family's 154-position model. The record is from RNAcentral.
GAUGAAGAACGUAUCGAAAUGCGAUACUUGGUGUGAAUUGCAGAAUCCCGUGAACCAUCGAGUCUUUGAACGCAAGUUGCGCCCGAAGCCAUUAGGCCGAGGGCACGCCUGCCUGGGCGUCACACGUCGUUGCCCCCCCAUCUACUCCUUCGGGAUUGCGGGGGGCGGAUGAUGGCCUCCCGUGCGCCUCGUCGCGCGGUUGGCAUAAAUGCCAAGUCCUCGGCGACACACGCCACGACAAUCGGUGGUUGCGAAACCUCGGUUGCCCGUCGUGUGCGGUCGUCGCGCAUCGAGGGCUCGAAAAAAUUGCCGGGCUCCGGCUCGGCUUUCAACGCGACCCCAGGUCAGGCGGGGUUACCCGCUGAAUUUAAGCAUAUCAAUAAGCGGAGGA